CACUUGCCAAACUCAAGAUUUCUAUUUCAUGAAAGCAUCGCUGUCUUUUUCUAUCACUUAUCAUCCUAUCCAAAGGAUAAGUUGGAGCGACUCACAGUCGUCUGAUAUCAUUCCUUCUUUGUUCCUGUAAUCAGUGCACUUGCCAAACUCAAGAUUUCUAUUCCAUGAAGUGCCGCUGGCCUUAUCUGUCAACUUAUCAUCCUAUCCACCGGAUAAGUUGGAGCGGCUCACGGUUGAUCUUCCUGGAGACUCCGCGACAUUGAGUACAGGCAAGAACAGUAUGCCGCCUUCGAUUUUCUAGGGUUACGAUUAAUUUGCUACCCAAUUUGUCAAUGUCAGGGACGGAUUACCUCGACGGCAUCUUCCUGCUUAUCGAGAUCCCCGCCAAUCACCAUGAGCGCUCGAUGUUUAGCCAGUACCCUGACCUCACUGUUGGCUGCGAGGUGAAGAACCUCCAUGUUGAGCUCAUUGCAGAUCCUACCAUUGCCGCCUCGUCGGCCACCGUCCGCUUGACCGCUUCCACUGCCCCACCACCGUGUGCCUCUCGCUGCGCCGCGUCAAUUUCUCCGACCUCCAUUGCAGGGCCGUGCACCCAUGCUCCGUCCCCGAGAUCAUCUGACUGCACUUCAUCCAGUAUGAUGACACAUGCAUGGCAAGAAUGUUGGUGUUGUGCCCCUGUCUCCGCAUCCUCGGCCGGCACUCCUGCAAUGACUUACGUGCAGUCUGUGUUACUGUGGUCAUGGUAAUGAACCUGAACGGCAGAAGUUGUCAUUAAGCACCAACGCAGGUAGACAGGACCUUAUUCUGCAAGAUUAAACUGGGAAACCUUCGGGGGUCAUCGCCGUGAUGGUGGUAUGUCACUCUUCCCACCAACAAGGGAUACCGGACAAGGAGUUUUUCUUACUACACUUCUGAACAUUUUCGUAAGGGCCGUGUUGGAGGCGGAGUGGAGCUAAAAACAAAGACGACCAUUGUUUCCAUCCGCAGGUGUAUAUAUUUGUCUAAUGUCUUUCGGUUUCUAAUAGUAGACGAGGGGUGUUUGAUUGAAGGAGAUUAAUGAGAGAAAAUGUGACAGAUUGUAUACCGCAAUGAUAUUAGAAACCAUACUCAUGGUGCCAGAUGGGAGGGACAAAAGAAAUACAUUCACAUUGGUCCAAACUUAGCAUACGUUGUGCUCUAUGCAUUUGACGAAAUAUAGCAACUCAUAUGCACA
Molecule: non-coding RNA, 1213 nt
Organism: Lolium perenne
Lineage: Eukaryota; Viridiplantae; Streptophyta; Magnoliopsida; Poales; Poaceae
Source: RefSeq, a predicted model, not a curated record